RNAcentral lists this ribosomal RNA (741 nucleotides) under uncultured bacterium. Its description in RNAcentral is "bacterial SSU rRNA". It matches the Rfam family "Bacterial small subunit ribosomal RNA", at positions 8 to 722 of the family's 1533-position model. The record is from RNAcentral.
AGAGUUUGAUCAUGGCUCAGAACGAACGCUGGCGGCGUGCUUAACACAUGCAAGUCGAACGAGAAAAUCCUGGCUUGCCAGGAUGAGUAAAGUGGCGCACGGGUGAGUAACACGUGAGUAAUCUGCCCCUAAGUCAGGAAUAACAUUGCGAAAGCGAUGCUAAUACCUGGUAAGCCCACGACUUCUUCGGGAGAUGUGGGAAAAGGUGGCCUCUGACAUAAGCUAUCACUUAGGGAUGAGCUCGCGGACCAUUAGCUUGUUGGUAGGGUAAUGGCCUACCAAGGCGAUGAUGGUUAGCUGGCCUGAGAGGGUGGCCAGCCACACUGGAACUGAGAUACGGUCCAGACUCCUACGGGAGGCAGCAGUGGGGAAUCUUGCGCAAUGGGGGAAACCCUGACGCAGCAACGCCGCGUGAGUGACGAAGGCUUUCGGGUCGUAAAGCUCUGUCAGAUGGAAAGAAUUAGUUCGCUGAAAAUAUUGGCGAAUGAUGACGGUACCAUCAAAGGAAGCACCGGCUAACUCCGUGCCAGCAGCCGCGGUAAUACGGAGGGUGCAAGCGUUGUUCGGAAUUAUUGGGCGUAAAGCGCGUGUAGGCGGGAAGGCAGGUCAGGUGUGAAAUCCCUUGGCUUAACCAAGGAACUGCAUCUGAAACCAUUUUCCUCGAGUACGAUAGGGGAGGGCGGAAUUCCCAGUGUAGAGGUGAAAUUCAUAGAUAUUGGGAGGAACACCAGUGGCGAAGGC